RNAcentral lists this ribosomal RNA (253 nucleotides) under uncultured bacterium. RNAcentral's name for it is "partial 16S ribosomal RNA". It matches the Rfam family "Bacterial small subunit ribosomal RNA", at positions 524 to 776 of the family's 1533-position model. The record is from RNAcentral.
UACGGAGGGUGCGAGCGUUGUUCGGAAUCACUGGGCGUAAAGGGCGUGUAGGCGGUCCGCUAAGUCUGAUGUGAAAGCCCGGGGCUCACCCCCGGAAGUGCAUUGGAAACUGGCGAACUCGAGUCCCGGAGAGGAGAGUGGAAUUCCUGGUGUAGCGGUGAAAUGCGUAGAUAUCAGGAGGAACACCGGUGGCGAAGGCGGCUCUCUGGACGGUGACUGACGCUGAGACGCGAAAGCAUGGGGAGCAAACAGG